GAUGAACGCUAGCGGCAGGCCUAAUACAUGCAAGUCGAGGGGUAUGGGUUGCUUGCAACCCAGAGACCGGCGCACGGGUGCGUAACGCGUAUGCAAUCUACCUUAAUCAGGGGGAUAGCCCGGAGAAAUCCGGAUUAACACCGCAUAACAUUGAGUUGUGGCAUCACAGUUCAAUCAAAUAUUUAUAGGAUUAAGAUGAGCAUGCGUGACAUUAGUUAGUUGGUGAGGUAACGGCUCACCAAGACCACGAUGUCUAGGGGAUCUGAGAGGAUGACCCCCCACACUGGUACUGAGACACGGACCAGACUCCUACGGGAGGCAGCAGUAAGGAAUAUUGGUCAAUGGGCGCAAGCCUGAACCAGUCAUGCCGCGUGCAGGAAGACGGCCCUAUGGGUUGUAAACUGCUUUUGUACCGGAAUAAACCUUCUCUUGCGAGAGAAGCUGAACGUACGGUAAGAAUAAGGAUCGGCUAACUCCGUG
RNAcentral lists this ribosomal RNA (480 nucleotides) under uncultured bacterium. RNAcentral's name for it is "partial 16S ribosomal RNA". It matches the Rfam family "Bacterial small subunit ribosomal RNA", at positions 28 to 507 of the family's 1533-position model. The record is from RNAcentral.